Molecule: transfer RNA, 71 nt
Filed under: Duncanopsammia peltata (bowl coral)
Lineage: Eukaryota; Metazoa; Cnidaria; Anthozoa; Scleractinia; Dendrophylliidae
Description: tRNA-Met
Rfam family: tRNA
About the family: Transfer RNA (tRNA) molecules are approximately 80 nucleotides in length. Their secondary structure includes four short double-helical elements and three loops (D, anti-codon, and T loops). Further hydrogen bonds mediate the characteristic L-shaped molecular structure. tRNAs have two regions of fundamental functional importance: the anti-codon, which is responsible for specific mRNA codon recognition, and the 3' end, to which the tRNAs corresponding amino acid is attached (by aminoacyl-tRNA synthetases). tRNAs cope with the degeneracy of the genetic code in two manners: having more than one tRNA (with a specific anti-codon) for a particular amino acid; and 'wobble' base-pairing, i.e. permitting non-standard base-pairing at the 3rd anti-codon position.
Source: RNAcentral
UGUAGGGAGGACGAAUGGUAAGUCACCGGGCUCAUGCCCCGAAGAAGUGGGUUCGAUUCCCGCCUCUACAG